UGAAACUGCCUACGCAAGUAGUGAGGAAGGUGGGGAUGACGUCAAAUCAGCACGGCCCUUACGUCCAGGGCUACACACGUGCUACAAUGGCCGAUACAGAGGGCAGCUACCUGGUGACAGGAUGCAAAUCUACCAAAGUCGGUCUCAGUUCGGAUCGGAGUCUGCAACCCGACUCCGUGAAGUUGGAUUCGCUAGUAAUCGCGCAUCAGCCACGGCGCGGUGAAUACGUUCCCGGGCCUU
Molecule: ribosomal RNA, 240 nt
Filed under: uncultured Sphingobacteriales bacterium
Lineage: Bacteria; Pseudomonadati; Bacteroidota; Sphingobacteriia; Sphingobacteriales
Description: partial 16S ribosomal RNA
Rfam family: Bacterial small subunit ribosomal RNA
Source: RNAcentral